This 496-nucleotide ribosomal RNA is filed under the name uncultured bacterium. RNAcentral describes it as "bacterial SSU rRNA". It matches the Rfam family "Bacterial small subunit ribosomal RNA", at positions 28 to 573 of the family's 1533-position model. The record is from RNAcentral.
AACGAACGCUGGCGGCAUGCCUAACACAUGCAAGUCGAACGAGACCUUCGGGUCUAGUGGCGCACGGGUGCGUAACGCGUGGGAAUCUGCCCUUGGGUUCGGGAUAACAGUUGGAAACGACUGCUAAUACCGGAUGAUGUCUUCGGACCAAAGAUUUAUCGCCCAGGGAUGAGUCCGCGUCGGAUUAGCUAGUUGGUGAGGUAAAGGCUCACCAAGGCGACGAUCCGUAGCUGGUCUGAGAGGAUGAUCAGCCACACUGGGACUGAGACACGGCCCAGACUCCUACGGGAGGCAGCAGUGGGGAAUAUUGGACAAUGGGCGAAAGCCUGAUCCAGCAAUGCCGCGUGAGUGAUGAAGGCCUUAGGGUUGUAAAGCUCUUUUACCCGGGAUGAUAAUGACAGUACCGGGAGAAUAAGCCCGGCUAACUCCGUGCCAGCAGCCGCGGUAAUACGGAGGGGCUAGCGUUGUUCGGAAUUACUGGCGUAAAGCGCGCGUA